AAUAAAUAAUCAUACACAAAAACUGUGAAGGCAGCGUAUGUAUAAUUAAAACUUAGAGGCCACUAAGAUGUGGCACUGUGCCCACUCUCGAAGGAGUUUAUAGAAAUAGCAGGUGCCAUUCACACGGGACCUGGGUGCCAGGCUCAGCACGCCCUGCGCCUCCUGACAACAGCCCCGUGCAGAAGACCCCCAUGCUGCAGGAGAAACUAAGAGGGACCACAGGGCAGGACCAGCCGGGAUCAAAUCCCCUCCCCGACACUUGCUGCCAUGCGACCUUCACAGGGCCCACUGCCCAUCUGUAAGGUGGGAAGUGCAGUCUCCAGGAUUACUUGAAGGAUUACACAGAUAAGAUUGAUAUUUUUAAAAAUGUAUUCAUUCCACAAACAUCUAUUGAGGACUCACCACGUUCCUGACUCUGGUCACGAGAUCAACUGUCACACGUCAAAGCCCGCAGCACCCAAAAAAAUGUUCAUUCAGAGCGAACCUCAUUGAGAGUUAACCAGACCCCAGCAGCCAUCCAGAUCCUGGGUUCCCCUCUCCUGGUCUCCCUGGGGAGCCAUCUCGGUCUCUGCUUCCAGGCUCUGCCCCAUCUGGAGGACUGGCUCCCCUUAGGGAUGCCGCUGAGUUCACCUCUUUUCAGAGCAGCAAGGUGUCUUGGGAAGCCCAGGUUUGUUGCCAAGGCUGCUCUCCAGCAGCGGACUGGAGAGCACUGUGCCUCAUCUCCUUCCCAUCCAGCAGUGACAGAGGGGAAGACAGGGUGACAUCAGAAAUAAGAGCUAAAGCAGAAAGACCAGGCUUAAAGUUUCGGCUUUCCCUCCUAGUAGUUGCUCAACAUUAGGCUGAUAACUUUCUGUUUCUACACCUCAGAUUCUUCACUUUGAAGUAGAAAAUGGAGACACUUCCUUCUUGGAGAUUCCUUUCCCAUAGCAUCUGUCUCAACCCUUACUCCCCUUUGGCACAGGUCCAGGCCAUGGAGUGGCCCUGGGGGCUUCUGGGAGAAAGGGACAGGGUGGGGCAUCAGUAGAUAUCGAGUGGAUGCACAGUGGUACCUUGGUUCACCAACUUGAUUUUUUCCACAAUUCUGGUCACAAACCAAGUUGGACAAGAACCAAAUCAAAUUCAGUGGCUAGGUUCCAUGUUGACCUCACAGGGAAAUUUGAUUCAGUUUUCAUCCAGUUCAGUUUGCAAUCUGAAUCGUAGAGAGAAUUGAGUUUGUGAACCGAGGUACUGCUGUAUCUUUUAGAACAGUCAGUGGUCUUCAGAAAAUCAUAAAUUGCUGAGGAUGUGGAGAAAUUGGAGUCCUAUGUACUGCUGGGAAGGCACAAUUGUGCCCUCACCAUGGAAGACGGUACGGUGAGUGCUUAAAAAGUGAACUGUAGAGUUACCACAUGAUCUUGCAAUUCCCACUUCUAGAUAUGUGAUCAAAUAAACUGAAAGAGUCUCAAUGGCCCUUUGUCUCCCCGUAUACAUGAUGGCUUCAGUCACAAGAGCUAAACCAUGGAAGCGACUCAGAUCAUCCGGGAAGAGUGCAUAAACCAAAUGAGGUCUUUCAUACCAUUGAAUACUAUUCAGCCUUAGAAAGAAAGGAAACUCUAACAUGCACAACAUAGAUGACCCUUGAGGACUUAUGCUAUGAGAAAUAAGCCACUCACAACAGGACAACAUAGUGCACAAUUCCACUUACAUGAAUUAUUUGGAGUAGCCAAAUGGAUUUGAACUAAAAGAGAGAGGUGUCAGGGCCUGGGUGAGGGACACGAAGAGCUGACGUUUAAUGAGUGUGGAGCUCCAGUCUGGGAAGAUGAAAAAGUUCUGGAGGGUACUUUAUGCCCUGAAACGUGCCUUUAAAAGUGGUUAAGAUGGUAAAUUUUAUAUUAUGUAUAUUUUCCACAGAAAAGAAUCAAUGUUUUCGUCCUUCCUGUCUCCAAGAAACUCCAAGUGUUGAUAUUAGCAUAGGAAAUAGUAGGGCUGGAGCAGAGUGGGCCAGGGGUGGAUGGAUGGGGGGUGAGGCAGGAGUAGGAGGAAAGGCAGCGGCCACGGAAGGUCCCACGUGGGAGUGGCCAUAGCUAGAAAAGCCGGGGAAGGUUCGUGUGCAGUGUCAGAGCUCAGAGGGCACAGGCCAUCCUGCGGAAAAGGCGGCAACAGGGAGAGGGAACAGCAUGGCAACGAAGUGAACCUGGACACCGGCCAGGGGGACCGGGGCUGCCUGAGGCCUGCACCCUCUGGGCCUGUACCAACUGUCACAGGAGUGGGGGCCCGGACCCCUGGGGACCCCGCACAGCAGCCUGAGAAAGAGGAAAACCACCAGAAAAUAUUAAAAGGGACGUACCAGCUUCGAAAGGUUACAUUUGUCCUUCUUCCUCCAUUCUAGUAACAAAAUCUGUGGUCAUUGGAGAAAUUUAAAAAAUCACAAACAGUAAAAAAAAAUACACAAGAAAAUUAAAAAUCCCCAUGUAGCCUCACCCCUCAGGGAUAAAAUUUAUACUGCUGACUGGUCUUUUUAAACUACUUUAGGUACAAAUUCCAUAUCAUUUUAAAAAACAUAUAUCACAUUGUUUUAAAAGCUUUUUCAUGUAACAAAUUAACAACCAUUUCCCCCGUGCCAUAAAAUCAUGUAAUACACAGUUUUAAAAUAGUCUACAACAGUUCAUCCUAGAGAUGGACCAUCACUUAGCCAGAACCCCAACGGAAAUAGACACAAAAGACCUAUUAAAGUUCACCAAUUCCAUUCUUACUGAGUGUCUCUUCUGGGCCAAACUGUCGCUGUCCUAGGUGUAUAAUGCCAAAUCCAGUUUAGAGUAGGGAGGAAAAAUUAAUACGCAAGCAGUUACAACCAGAGUUACAGACACAGUAGGUACACAUCUUAGUCCAUACCUGCUAUGAUUUGUGUCCCCAAAGGCCCAUAUGUUUAAAGACUUGGUCCCUAGGCUGUGGUACCAUUGGGAGGUGGUGGUAGCUUUAAGAGGUGGGGCUUCGUGGGAGGAAGUGAGGCUAUUGGGGGUGUGUCCUGAAGAUAUUGUGGGAUCCUGCCCCACCUCUCUCUGCCCAGCCUCCUCCACCACAUGUCUGGUCAUGUUGUGCUUGCUGGCCACAGGCCCAAAGCAUAGGCCAGUCAGUCAGCCAUGGAAACCUCUGAAACACCGAGGUUUGUCUCAGCUCUUUUGUCACAGCAACAGAAAGCUGGCUAAUAGCUGAAGCUUUCAAGAAAUAUAAUUCGUAUUAUCUUUAGCAAUAUCAUUUUUAUUCUAAGCUCUUACUCUCCUAGGGUGGUAGAAACUCAAGUUCAGUUCACUUUGGACACCUCCCCUUCCCUUGAGUUGAGACUCAGCUUGGCUCAGCUCCAUAGUGCUGGGGGUGUGUGUGGAAGCAUGUGUGUGUUUGUGUGUGCGCAUGCUGGUCCGUGGGGAGGGUGGCCCACUCCCCCACGUCUGUUCACACCCAUCCUGGGGCACCCAUCCCUGCUUACAGUCAUCAGUCCAUAAGGCAGCCAUGGGGUCACCCUCCAGUCCCGUGCUCCGCCCCUGCAUAACUGGAGCUUUCAGCACCACUGUCACCCAAGCCUCUUCCAGGAUCCAGAAGAUGAUUCUCCUUUUAAGGGGCUGCUGGAGUCUGAGUACUCAUUUCUUCUGGGGCUCACUUCUCAUCCCACUUCUGAGCAUCUUUCUCUAGCCUGGGGUAGGAGGCCAGGAGGGCUGAAAGGCUUUACCUUUCUCAAAUUCCCUGCUGGUUUUACACCUGGGUCCCAAAGGCUCAGCUGUGUGCGGAGGGAAGAGAGUGGGGAAACUGUCUCAAUGCCUCACUCAGAAAUGUCAUCCCUCACAGAACCGAGCAGAGGGUAACAAGAGCAGAGAGGAAAUGCUUCCAGGAGAGGGCUCCCACCUCAAAGCUCCUGGGGAGUGGGUGGCUUGCAGAGGAAGAUGCCCAGGGAGGGGAGCAGGGCCUUUGAGGACUUUCUGAGUAGAGCCAUUUGCCUACUCCUGGUCAGGUUGGGGACAGCAAGGACCACUGAGGAGCCCUGGAUGUUCUCAAGCAACCUACAGUCCCUAAAUGGACAUUGACUCAGAAGGUACCCAUCUGCCUAGGUUAAUUUACGUACAGCCCAUCCUAGAAAAAGUGAGAUAUCACAACCGACCCUAUAGGUCUUUCUGAAGAGAUAAUAUACCAUUCACUAUUUUUCCUGCACAGAUGAGUAUUGCUGGACACUAAUGUGUGUACUUGUCUUUGUUAACUGCUGCUUUUAGCAGAGUGAAUCCAAAACAGUCACACUUGCUCUGUAAAGAAAGGUUCAACUUCCUGGUGCCCGAAGGAGGUGUAAAAUGAUUUAAGGGCAAGCCCAGUGACUCAAAAUGUCUUUGAAACACUCAUUUAGAUACAAGCAGUUGAUAGAUUAUUUGAAAAAACAAUCUUGCCUAUGUAUACUGACUUGAGCUAUCCAUGUGUGGAGCAAAGAGAGCCCUGAGAAGCAGUGUGAUCAUUGUGCUUUUCCAUUUUUCUAUUUGCUUAUCACUUAGCCAAUUCAACAAUCAUUCUAAUAUGUUGGGGGUCCCAGACCCAACCUGUGACUUUUCUGACAGCUCCCUGGAGCCUUCAGCUGAAGGAUUUAGACACCCAGGCUGCAGCCCUGCACGCUGACAGUCUUCUGUGAGACUGAAAGUCGAUGGGUCCAGGAAGGACCAUGCCAUGAUAAUAUACCCCCGAUACUCUGCAUCUAUAAGAUGUAUAAAUCACGGCAUUCACGGGACACGUUGGUUCCCCGAGGCACCCACGCUGCAUGGUGGAUGAGCCAAGUCACCCCUCCUGGGUGCAGGCCUCUAGAAGGGUGAGGUAAGUGUGUGCCUGCAGGCAAAGCUAAAGUCUUCUUGCGGACACUUCUGGCGGGGGGGGAUUUGUGUUGGAGAAAAACAGCUGCCUUUUAUUUCUUCCUCUUCUAGACUGCUUUCAUUUACUAUAGCCAAUAUAGUCAAUAUGCAAUAUUUUAGUUUUUUUAAAUCCUUUUUUAAAAAUAAAAGAAUUGACAUUC
This is a non-coding RNA of Heterocephalus glaber (naked mole-rat), 5017 nucleotides long. NCBI's taxonomy places the organism in Eukaryota, Metazoa, Chordata, Mammalia, Rodentia, Bathyergidae. The record is from RefSeq and is a predicted model, not a curated record.